This 1162-nucleotide long non-coding RNA is filed under the name Anas platyrhynchos platyrhynchos (common mallard). Its description in RNAcentral is "lncRNA (ENSAPLG00000019166.1)". The record is from RNAcentral. Lineage: Eukaryota; Metazoa; Chordata; Aves; Anseriformes; Anatidae.
AGGGGGGCUGGGGGGGUUCUGAGGGGGUCUGGAGGUCCUAUGGGGGGGUCUGGGGGUCCUAUGGGUGAUCCUCGCACCCUGUGGGGCUCCCUGGGGGUCCCAUGGGGGGGGCCUGAGGGGGUCUGGGGGUCCUAUGGGGAGUCCUGGGGGGGUCUUGAGGGGGUCUGGGGGUUCUAUGGGGGGGCCUGAGGGGGUCUGGGUGUCCUAUGGGGGGUCCCUGGGCAGACCGGGGGGGGGCGCUGGGGGGCGUGGGGGGGGCCCGGGGGGGGGGCCCGGGGGGGGGGUCCUAUGGGGAUCCCUGGAGGGUCGCUCUCACCCUCUCCCAUCCCCUGGGGGGGUCCCAUCCUUUGAGGGGGAUCUCCCACCCCCUUGUGCUGUCUCCCCCCCCCCGUGGGGACCCCCCCCCCCCCUUGAUGCCCCCCCCCUGACGCCCCCCCCCCGUGCCCCCCCCAGGCGAGGUGGACCUGGAGCUGCGCCUGGCUCGCCUGGAGCGCCUGGUGGGGAGGCGCCCGCUGCUGCUCAACAGCGUCCUGCUGAGACAGAACCCGCACAACGUGCACGAGUGGCACAAGCGCGUGCGGCUGCACCACGGCAACCCGCAGGAGGUGGGGACAUCGGGGACAUCGGGGACAUCAGGGACAUUGGGGACAUUGAGGACAUCGGGGACAUUGGGGACAUUGGGACACUGGGGACAGGUGGGGUCAUAGGGACAUGGGGACAUUGGGGUAGGGGGGACAAUGCCAGGACCCCCACAACGUGCACAAGGGGCACAAGUGUGUGUGCCUGCACCACGGCCACCCCCAGCAGGUGGGGGGGCACCGGGACAUGGGGGGGACACUGGGGACAUUGGGGAUGUUGGGGACACUGGGGACAUCGGGGACAUUGGGGACGUUGGGGACACUGGGGCCACGGGGAGGUUGGGGACACAGGGAGGUUGGGGUGAGGGGCGCAGUGCCAGGACCCCCAAAAUGUGCACGAGGGGCACAAGCGCGUGCGCCUGCACCACGGAAACCCCCAGGAGGUGGGGACAUCGGGGACACUGGGGACACGGGGACAUUGGGGACAUUGGGGACACGGGGAGGUUGGGGACAUUGGGGACAUGGGGACAUUGGGGUGAGGGGCGCAGUGCCAGAAUCCCCAAAAUGUGCACGAGGGGCAAGAG